Molecule: transfer RNA, 69 nt
Filed under: Marmota monax (woodchuck)
Lineage: Eukaryota; Metazoa; Chordata; Mammalia; Rodentia; Sciuridae
Description: tRNA.Asp
Source: RNAcentral
GGGUGUGGCUCAGCAGUAGAGUGCUCGCAUAUCACGUGCAAGGCCCUAGGUUCGAAUCUCAGCACCACA